GACGAACGCUGGCGGCGUGCUUAACACAUGCGAGUCGAACGGAAAGGCCCUGCUUUUGUGGGGUGCUCGAGUGGCGAACGGGUGAGUAACACGUGAGUAACCUGCCCUUGACUUUGGGAUAACUUCAGGAAACUGGGGCUAAUACCGGAUAGGAGCUCCUGCUGCAUGGUGGGGGUUGGAAAGUUUCGGCGGUUGGGGAUGGACUCGCGGCUUAUCAGCUUGUUGGUGGGGUAGUGGCUUACCAAGGCUUUGGCGGGUAGCCGGCCUGAGAGGGUGACCGGCCACAUUGGGACUGAGAUACGGCCCAGACUCCUACGGGAGGCAGCAGUGGGGAAUAUUGCACAAUGGGCGGAAGCCUGAUGCAGCAACGCCGCGUGCGGGAUGACGGCCUUCGGGUUGUAAACCGCUUUCGCCUGUGACGAAGCGUGAGUGACGGUAAUGGGUAAAGAAGCACCAGCUAACUACGUG
This 468-nucleotide ribosomal RNA is filed under the name uncultured bacterium. RNAcentral describes it as "partial 16S ribosomal RNA". It matches the Rfam family "Bacterial small subunit ribosomal RNA", at positions 28 to 507 of the family's 1533-position model. The record is from RNAcentral.